CCUACGGGUGGCAGCAGUGAGGAAUAUUGGUCAAUGGCCGAGAGCCUGAACCAGCCAAGUCGCGUGAAGGAAGACUGCCCUACGGGUUGUAAACCUCUUUUAUAGGGGAGCAAAGCGAACCACGUGUGGUUCAUUGAAAGUACUCUAAGAAAAAGCAUCGGCUAACUCCGUGCCAGCAGCCGCGGUAAUACGGAGGAUGCGAGCGUUAUCCGGCUUUAUUGGGUUUAAAGGGGGCGCAGGGGGGGGGUGAAGUCAGGGGGCAAAGUUGGGCGCUUAAACGUAUAAUUGCGGUUGAUACUGGCAGUCUUGAGUGCGGUAGAGGUAGGCGGAAUUCGUGGUGUAGCGGUGAAAUGCUUAGAUAUCACGAAGAACUCCGAUUGCGAAGGCAGCAUAC
This 394-nucleotide ribosomal RNA is filed under the name uncultured bacterium. Its description in RNAcentral is "partial 16S ribosomal RNA". It matches the Rfam family "Bacterial small subunit ribosomal RNA", at positions 338 to 729 of the family's 1533-position model. The record is from RNAcentral.